This 1422-nucleotide ribosomal RNA is filed under the name Paenibacillus macerans. RNAcentral's name for it is "bacterial SSU rRNA". It matches the Rfam family "Bacterial small subunit ribosomal RNA". The record is from RNAcentral. Lineage: Bacteria; Bacillati; Bacillota; Bacilli; Caryophanales; Paenibacillaceae.
AGAGUUUGAUCCUGGCUCAGGACGAACGCUGGCGGCGUGCCUAAUACAUGCAAGUCGAGCGGACCUGAUGGAGUGCUUGCACUCCUGAUGGUUAGCGGCGGACGGGUGAGUAACACGUAGGCAACCUGCCCGUAAGACCGGGAUAACUACCGGAAACAGGUAGCUAAUACCGGAUAAUCAAGUCUUCCGCAUGGGAGUCUUGGGAAAGGCGGAGCAAUCUGUACACUUACGGAUGGGCCUGCGGCGCAUAUAGCUAAAGUUGGUGGGGUAACGGCUCACCAAGGCGACGAUGCGUAGCCGACCUGAGAGGGUGAACGGCCACACUGGGACUGAGACACGGCCCAAGACUCCUACGGGAGGCAGCAGUAGGGAAUCUUCCGCAAAUGGACGAAAGUCUGACGGAGCAACGCCGCGUGAGUGAUGAAGGUUUUCGGAUGUAAAGCUCUGUUGCCAGGGAAGAACGUCUUCUGGAGUACCUGCCAGGAGAGUGACGGUACCUGAGAAGAAAGCCCCGGCUAACUACGUGCCAGCAGCCGCGGUAAUACGUAGGGGGCAAGCGUUGUCCGGAAUUAUUGGGCGUAAAGCGCGACGCAGGCGGACUGUUUAAGUCUGGUGUAUAAAUCCUGGGGCUCAACUCCGGGUCGCACUGGAAACUGGACGGCUUGAGUGCAGAAGAGGAGAGUGGAAUUCCACGUGUAGCGGUGAAAUGCGUAGAGAUGUGGAAGGAACACCAGUGGCGAAGGCGACUCUCUGGGCUGUAACUGACGCUGAGGCGCGAAAGCGUGGGGAGCAAACAGGAUUAGAUACCCUGGUAGUCCACGCCGUAAACGAUGAGUGCUAGGGGUUAGGGGUUUCGAUACACCUUGGUGCCGAAGUAAAACAACAUUAAGCAACUCCGCCUGGGGAGUACGGCCGCAAGGCAGAAACUCAAAGGAAUUGACGGGGAACCCGCACAAGCAGUGGAGUAUGUGGUUUAAUUCGAAGCAACGCGAAGAACCUUACCAGGUCUUGAACAUCACCUCUAGACCGCUGUAGAGAUAUGGCUUUCCUUCGGGACAGAGGAGACAGGUGGUGCAUGGUUGUCGUCAGCUCGUGUCGUGAGAUGUUGGGUUAAGUCCCGCAACGAGCGCAACCCUUGACUUUAGUUGCCAGCAAGUAAAGUUGGGCAACUCUAGAGUGACUGCCGGUGACAAACCGGAGGAAGGUGGGGAUGACGUCAAAUCAUCAUGCCCCUUAUGACCUGGGCUACACACGUACUAACAAUGGCCGGUACAACGGGAAGCGAAGUCGUGAUAUGGAGCGAAUCCUAGAAAAGCCGAUCUCAGUUCGGAUUGCAAGGCUGCAACUCGCCUGCAUGAAGUCGGAAUUGCUAGUAAUCGCGGAUCAGCAUGCCGCGGUGAAUACGUUCCCGGGUCUUGUACA